UCGGUCAAAUCACGCUGAAAACACCGGUUCUCGUUCGAUCACCGAAGUUAAGCAUCGUAGAGCCAGGUCAGUACUUAGAUGGGGACCGCUUGGGAACACCUGGUACUGUAAG
Molecule: ribosomal RNA, 112 nt
Filed under: Acanthosepion pharaonis
Lineage: Eukaryota; Metazoa; Mollusca; Cephalopoda; Sepiida; Sepiidae
Source: RNAcentral